AUGUCAAAUAAAACCUCAAAGUUUCAGAAUAGCGUGAAAAUGGCAACCAUAGUACGGAACAAUAUUCACGUAAUAAUAAGCAAUUCAGCUUCAGUGUAAAAAAGCCAACUUCGUCAGAUUUUUUGGAGUACGGUAAUAACAAAACAUGCCGAAAAAUUGCUGUGAUGUUCAAUGAACGUGUAACCAGGUCAAAAGUUCCGACCUAAGGUUCGCAAUGCUCCCAAGUAGGGAAAUGGAGCCUGCGAGAAGAGCCCCGUUGCUUCAGUCUAUUCGGUGUGGGAGAUGUGGGGACCCGGUGUCCAAGUACGCUACACGUAGCUGUUUGUGGAAAACAUUUAAUCACAACUAAGCCAUUUACGUUAUUUGGUAUAGUUCGUUUGUAAGACCACUCACUAUUGUAACCCAAUAGUCUAUUUUGUGUUGUUGGUCUUGUUUGGUUUACGUUGCGGUUGGGAUGGUAGCUAGCUAGCAUUCACUCAUGUGGCUGCUAUAGCGCCAUGAAAAGGUGCAUGAGGGAAGCCCUAUUACGUUUUUCUAAGUAGUGAGGACACGAAAGCAGGCAAUGUUGACAAGUAAUCUUUAUACAUGGUUUACUUUGCUUAAAAUGUAAUUUACAAAAAUAAUGUAUUUGCUGAGAGCCAAUGGGGUAACCUAGAAAACCACAGAUUGCGUUACGCGGGCGAGGCCGCGACGUUCUACUUACGGAACGCCAUUUGGGUGGGUGACUCGCCUUGCGGGUCAAAAGCUACACGUCAAAUAACAUUAUGGCCAAUAUUUGCAAUCACAAUUAAGGCGCGCUUGAAGCCAGCUAUGGGUGCGUGCGUAAAUUCGCUCUGGCUAUCUACUCCGAUUUCAGAGCACUUUAGCCUGAGUGUGCCAGAGCUAACUAGCAGUUAGGACGAGUAAAAUGGUCAGAGUGAGGUGUUCUCUCAUUUGUGUCUGGAAGAAGCUGGCCAACUGUUAGCCAAUUAUAUUGGGUAAUUGACUGCUCGUUGUGAGGUCAGAACGCUCGGAUUAACCCUACUAUGGAAGGCCAAGAGUUUCAAAUUGUCUUGAUUUGGACGCUUGUUACGGGCAUGUUUAUACGCGUUCAUUACACCUGUUCUGUGUGCAUUUACAGGUGAUUAGAACGCCUGUGUAGUAACGGGCACAUCCCCAUGUGUCUGAAAGUACCACAUUGUAGCCCCUCCCACCUCAAUUUUUGGGAGUUUGACUUCCGGCCUGUUGCGGUAAAUCGUUUACUCAGGGAGGAGGAGAUUAUUCUAAAUAUGGCUCAAAUUGUUAUUACAUUUACAGAAUGUAAACGCUGCAGCAAGGCGUUGGUGAGAAAAAAAAUGGAGAAAGAAAUUGAAACGACUUUUUCCACAGAACUACAAAUCUGACGCUGGCUAUCUAUCUUAUUUUCAUUGAAAUAGCAUGGCUAGCUAGCUAGCAAUAGUAUUCUGUCAAGCCUGUAACUAACGUUAAUGGUUGUUACGUUGUGGAACAGAGCAACAUAGUUCUUUGUACUUGUCAUUUGGUUGAGACAAACAUUAGUUUAGAACAUAAUUGUUUACUUUGUGUAGAUUUGUGUAAUUAGUUGGGUUUGCUUGUUAGCAAGCUGAGAUGUAUUUGCUCAAGUUGGCAAAUUUAGCUAUUAGCUAAUGUUUUAGGAGAACAGGUUAGCUCCCUGCAUAAUCUAGACCAUACAAGAAUGGGGAAUAAGGUCUGGCUAUUGCAGUGUCCAGACUAGGUGAGAGCAAACUGCUACAGAGAAAGGAAUCUACUAAUUCUAUGUUGAACCAGCAACACAGAUGGAGGGGGAGGAAAACAGACUGCUUCUUUCUACAACACCUUCACCAAAUCAUACAAUGUUUGUUACAUCUGAAAUAAAUAAAUAAUUAUGUUAGUUUAUUCUGUUUAAUGUUUUUUAUGCUGGAUGUAAUUUAGCAGGUCUAUAGUAUAAUGUAUUGUUUUGAAACAUUUUAUUAAAUAUCUAUUCAGUCUACUCUAUUUUAUGUUUGCUAGAAUAAUGUAUGUUUUGUACUGUUACUUUUUACAUGCUGAAACAGUCUCAUUAGUUUUGAGCUAGAUUAUGAUUGGGGAAAUGUCUACUACCCUUUUUAAAAUGUUGAUGAAUGAAAUUAGCACAGUUACUAAUAGUUUGUUGCUACUGUAUGGUGAGGAAGUGGGCAAUAUGGAAUACAUUGGAGGAAGGGAGAAUUAAUGAGAAAUCAGAACUUGGAGAAUGUCGGGGAAUAAGUAGGUAAAUGUACAGCCUAUCAAUGACAAACAGUGCAGAGGUAGCCUUAGAAUUAGAUAUGUGCAUGUUAUGUACUGGACAGACGGCUAGACAGCUUUUUUUCAAAACAUUGGAUUACCGACUUGAGUUGUGACAUCUCAGUUUGCACCGCAUUUUCACAUGGAUGUGUAAAUAUACACUGAACAAAAAUAUAAACGCAAUAUGUAAAGUGUCGGUUUCAUGAGCUGAAAUAAAAUAUCCCAAACAUU
Oncorhynchus kisutch (coho salmon) is the source of this 2490-nucleotide long non-coding RNA. RefSeq lists it as uncharacterized. The transcript is spliced from 2 exons. The record is from RefSeq and is a predicted model, not a curated record. Lineage: Eukaryota; Metazoa; Chordata; Actinopteri; Salmoniformes; Salmonidae.